GCACUGACUGGGGGGACCCUGUGCAGGGGCCUCACUUGGUGCUCAGGUGGCAGAACGACCCCUGGCUUCCGGCUCCUCCCUGACACUUGCUGGCAGUGACUUGGUGAGACUUGGUUUCUUCACCCAUGGAAGAGGAUAACAGCUGCAUACACAGCCUCCCAGUUAGGGUUAUGUGACAUGAGCCUGACCAAGGUAGACUGUCUGGCCCAUCACAAGCACUCAGGAACUUGACCUAGGACCUCACAGGUGACCAGGGGUGAGGAGCACCUCCAGACGACGUGCCAGGCCCCCAGACACUCCGAGCAUCUUUAGUGUUUAUUUUUGAAAUCUGGUCCUUUGAGUUGUUGGCUUUUGCUUUUGCGGUGACAAAAGAGGGUUAGAUAUUGCUUUUAGAGUCUGGGCAAUCCCCAAUAUGGUUUCAAAAGAAUAUGAUGAUCCCUACUGGUAUGUGAGAUGACUUAUUAAAAUUACACCCUGUUUUCCAGCGGACCUUGUACAGUGUGGCCGCCUGUUAGAGAUGUUCCAGUCUCCUCUUAGGACAACUGUCAUUCCUGCCCUGGAGGGUGGGGGUGGGGGCGGCGGUCCACGAGCAACACUCCGCUUUUAGGGAAAGACCGGGCUUAGCCAAAACAUUUCCAACUUCCUACUCGCCCCCACCCCCCAAAUCCCCCAGAGGUUGCAAGCUGCCCCUUCUGUGUGCCUCGGGAGAGCAAAAUAGGAAUAUCUUGAAGAUUGCAGUCAAAAAGCCAUGUCCUGGGAGCCAGGAGCCACGCAAGCCCUUAGUAACUGCGUGUUUUGUUUCCUCCUCUUCAGAGCACCCAGGUAACCCCAGGGCCACCUAUCAGCAUGGAGGUCAGACUGACCCAGAUCCCACACUUCAAAACAAUUAUGCGGAGUGUCUCUCCUUUGCCAGCAGCUAAGUGUCAGAAAAGGCAUUGACGUCAUAGAUCUCUGCUCUGAUAAGUUGUGUUGCUGGGAGGCAAGGUUUACGGGUUACAGAUUGUGUCAAAGUGGUUUAUAAACUCAAACUCUAGGGGUUGCAACUGGCAUUGCAUUGUCUCAAAAUCAUGGAAACACCAAGAAGUCCAGGAAAAGAUACUUUUGAAAACUUGAUGUACCAACACGGCAGUGCUGGAAAGGGAGGCAAAGCAGCUGACAAGCAGGUGUUUUCAGCGUAGAGGCUGGAGCUGCCCCACCAGAGGCCGAUGAGAGGUUUGUGAAAGCUGAGAGGUGGACCCUCAUGUGGCUUCAGAAGCUCAGAUGCUUGGUGUCCUAGCACCUGAUGCAAAUGAUGGGUAAGUUGCUCACUCACCUGCAGCGCCACCUGCUUGUCCCUCCCUGGAAUACACCUGUUAGUCAAGCUCCAUGGAAACAGGCUGGAGAAAAUUAAAGAUGGAGGGAGGAUUUUGUGAGCUGUUUCUGCAUGAUCAGCACGACCUUCUUCAGAAGGGCCACAGACACCCGCAGUCGUGCAGGGCUCGCCUCCAUGUGACUCCUCAAUGUCAGCUGGCCUGAAGUGGGUGCUUCUGUUUAUAAACGAAUUCCUGUGCACAGCAAGUCUGGUGCAGCCUGGUGAGCCUGCUCUCAGUGCCAACAGCACAGUCCACAAGGCAUGGCAACCCGUGACAACAGCAGAUGGGAUGUGUGAUAUCUCAUUUCCAUCUUUCAUCAUUAGUUUCCCACACUCGAGUCACACCUGGGCAAGUGCUCUGUCCAUGGAAAACUGUUUGAUGACACCCAUCAAACAGGCCACAUGUCACCACCAAUGGGAAAGGAUGGGCAGACUGAAGGUAUCCCAGUGGGCUAAGUCUCUGCCAGCAUGUCACGUCUAUGCUCAGGUGUAACCGACAGAGCGCCUCCCUCGUGUGCCCCCACUGUGGGACUCAGGCCCAUUGGUCAUGCUCUUUCAAAGCAUCCCUGACUUUUCCUUCUGGCACCCAGGGCAAAUUCCAAGGAGGAUGCUUGGCAAGACCCUCUCCCUGGUAGAUGCCUGCCUCCCCCACUUGUUGCCAAACUCCAGGAGCUGGGGUUUUCUGUUCUUUCUUCACUACUGUCUAUAAAACCCUCAAGCACAUGGAGACCCUCCAAGGACUGAUCCUGGACGAAGGGCCCAGGGCCUUCUGGACAGACCACAGAGUCGAGAAACACUGGUCUUGCAAGGGCAGCUUCUGAGCCCUGAAUGGCGGGAUUCUGUUCUAACUGAAACUUUUGGUCAACAAGUUCCUUUCUGUAGUUGACCAUCAAAAUAGACUUUGUGUCAUUUGCUUCUGACCUGACCCUGUGCUUUUUGUAUCUGACUCACAGGUGGGUGACCCACAGCUCAUUCAGACAGUUGUCACAGCCCCUGGGCACCGUUUCCAGUGAAUGAUGUUGACAGUAAUUUUCUUAUUUGUGUUAAGAGUUUGACCUCUUAAAAAAAUGUAGUUUUACUCGCACUGCUAACAUCAAAACACACACACAGCAUGUUUCAUAGGGGUUACUUUGAAUCCGAUACCUGUUUUCUAUAGGCUGUCACUCUGGCAGUUUCUGGACCUGUCAGCUCUCAAACUCACCUCCUGGCUGGGAAGACGCUCCUUCUAGUAACUAAUGUUCUUUCCUAGUGAAAUUCAGAACCAGCUUUUCCACUGACCCAGAUAUUUCACAUGCAGAAAAAUGGACCAUUCACAGUCAGAGGAUGAUGAGGACAGACUUGAAUAAAGGCAACACUU
Long non-coding RNA from Sus scrofa (pig), 2708 nucleotides. RefSeq lists it as uncharacterized. The record is from RefSeq and is a predicted model, not a curated record. Lineage: Eukaryota; Metazoa; Chordata; Mammalia; Artiodactyla; Suidae.